Long non-coding RNA from Equus quagga, 2430 nucleotides. RefSeq lists it as uncharacterized. NCBI's taxonomy places the organism in Eukaryota, Metazoa, Chordata, Mammalia, Perissodactyla, Equidae. The record is from RefSeq and is a predicted model, not a curated record. The transcript is spliced from 9 exons.
GGCUGUUGGAAGCCAGCGGCUCCUGGGGAAGAGACGUAAAGGGUUUCUAAUAUGCAAAUGAAGCCGGGUAUGAAACCCCCAGGAUAAAAGAAUCCCAUGAAUCUCAUUCAUCAUUUUAUUAACAGAGAUUCCACGUCUUGGCAUCUGUCCCAGGGGAAGAUGAGACAGAGAGGGAGAGAAUGAUGGAGAUGAAGAUUUACCUACUAUAAGUAUUUGAGUCAUGUUUAUAAUAAGCUGGAAAAUUGCUACUUGUUUUUGGCUGCUGUCACCGAGAUGAUAGCUACCCAAGAAUGGAUUAAAUCUGCCAGUUCAGCACAGACCAGUCUGGUCAGCGAUCAGUGAGGAGAGGCCCUUGAGAAGUCCAUGACAAUGACAGAACUGUUGGAAGAACAGUGCUCGUGUGCAAAGAGAAUCUUGCACAGCCUCAGCAUGUGGUAGUGCAUCAAGGUCUCUUGCUCCAGCGUGGUGUCCAUCCCUCAACUCACUUGUACCUACAAAUGCCCAGCAGCACGGAAGCAGAGUGGCCACUGACAAUGUCUAGAAGGAACUCGGUCUCUUUAUCUCUGGAAAUGGUCAUGCAACAAUGGAGGAGAGCCAGACCGGCUGCAACUUUCUUGCUAUCCAGCUAGGAUGAAAGAGGGACGGGCCAGAGAAGGAUUGAGAAAUGUAUGCAGAACCUCUGAAUUAAGCCAACUCUAAAAACCGCCAUUCUGUUGGAAUUUCCAGGUUCUCUCUCUUUCUCUUGGAUCACCCACCUGAAGGGAAGCCAUGUCAUCAGCAACCCCCUGGAGAAGACUGUGUGAGGAACUGAGGCCUCCUGCCAAUACCAAUGUCCGUGACCGUGAAAUCUUGGCUUCUGGUGCAGAUCUGGUCACCGGCUGAGGAGGCAGCACAGCCCGAGGGCAGCAGUCCUGUGCCCGCUCGGAGAGCCACCUUCUGAGUCCACCAGUGGCCUCUUUGAUAACUCUGAAGAUUUUGAUUAGGAAGAAAAUUCUUUCAAAAUUGUCCAGAAUACACAGGAUUCCAGUGAGCAAAUAGACCGCCCAGAGUCUCACCAACCUCGGCCACAGGCCAUGGUCCAGGCGCAGUCUGGGCAGCCAAAACUUGGGAUGAGCCGUCUCUCCGUUUGCUUUACGCCGUGAGCUGUGUUCCUGUUUACUUUCCCCUUCCUGAUACAUUCUGGGGGUGCUUAGCCUGUGUGUGCGCUGACUAUGACCAGCUCUGUCUUCCUGGGCCUCAAGGAGAGAGGUGGGCUCACGCCUUCCCAACAGUGAGCCGACCACUUCUUACUCUUGCAUUAUAAUUGCUUGCCUGAGGUGACCAUCCUACUGUCAUUAGUAUCAGAAAUGCCUUCUUCAAAAAGCUGGCUUGAGAGUUAGACUUGGAUUCUGAGCCCAGAAGGCACACCAUACACAGACGUGUUGGAGCUGUGCCUGGAUGCCCAGGGCCCUGAGUGGUAACAGCUCCCCUAGUUCUCACACCUGCACGUUUAUGGCUGGGCAGUCAGCAGGGUUGGCCAACAGGAGGUGGACAACUUUUCCGCGUUGGUCGGUGAUCCAAGAGUCUAGCAUCAGCACACUUCUACCCUUUGCUUAACCCUGGUCAAUGGCUCUCCACAGCCUGUAGGACAGGGGCAGACUCCCACCUUGCCAUCUGCGCCCCUCUGUGCCCUGGCCUUACUGAGCCCUCUUCUCUAGGCCUCACUUCUCUCCCUCUUGCACCCCUCGGUCCAGCCGCACUGAAUAAUGUACUGUUCCUUGACAGUGAAUUGGAUGCCCCUGGGUUCCACAAAUGGGCUUCCCCUGCUUGGAUGCUCUUCCUGGCGUCUUGUUCUGGUUCACACACCCUCCCCCUUGGGGCUGGCCUCAGCUUUCCCUCCAUCCAAGGAUCCAUCUCUGACCUUGCAGGCUGGAUGGGCCCACUCUCCUUCUGGCUAUCGUGGGACUCAUAGAGAUGGGAGGCUGUAGAAAGUAGCGUUAAGACAUCAGACGGACGGGGGUUCACAUCCCAGCUCUCUCAUCGCUAAUCAUGUCAUCUUGAGCAAGUUAUUAACUUCUCCGGGCCUCAGUUUCACCACGUGUAAACUGAGGAUGUCAGCAGAACUAGCCUUAGAGGAUUGUUUUGAGGAGGAGGUAAGCUGAUGUAUAUACAGUGCUAUAGUAGGUUGAAUUGUGACCCUCCAAAGAUAUGUCCACCUGGAACCUCAGAAUCUGACCUCGUUUGGAAUAAAGAUCUUUGCAGAUGUAACUAAGUUAAGGAUCUCAAGAUGAGAUCAUCUUGGAUUUAGGUCAGGCCUUAAAUCCAAUGGCAGUUUCCUUAUAAGAGAAAGGCAGAGGGAGACGUGAGACACAGAGAGGAGAUGCCGUAUGAAGUUGGAGGUAGAGAUUUGAGUGAUGCAGCCACAAGUCAAGGAACGCCUGGAGCCACCAG